CUUGAUUAAAAAUAAGAGGUCCAGCCUGCCCAGUGACAUAGUUCAACGGCCGCGGUAUUCUAACCGUGCGAAGGUAGCGUAAUCACUUGUUCUUUAAAUAAGGACUAGUAUGAAUGGCACCACGAGGGUUACACUGUCUCCUUUUUUUAAUCAGUGAAACUAAUCUUCCCGUGAAGAAGCGGGAAUUUUUAUAUAAGACGAGAAGACCCUAUGGAGCUUUAAAUAAAUUAACACUUGCCACAUAAUAUUAAAUAACAAAGUAUAGCAAUAUGAUUAAUAAUUUUCGAUUGGGGUGAUCACGGAGUAAAAAACAACCUCCAUGCCGAAAGGGCCUGUCCCUGAGCAAAAAACUACGACUUUAAGCACUAAAAAAUUAACGUCCAUUGACCCAAUAACUUGAUCAACGAAC
RNAcentral lists this ribosomal RNA (409 nucleotides) under Boana sibleszi group sp. ABGD cluster 102. Its description in RNAcentral is "partial large subunit ribosomal RNA". It matches the Rfam family "Bacterial large subunit ribosomal RNA", at positions 1834 to 2396 of the family's 2925-position model. Lineage: Eukaryota; Metazoa; Chordata; Amphibia; Anura; Hylidae. The record is from RNAcentral.